RNAcentral lists this ribosomal RNA (904 nucleotides) under Paralaeospira sp. TAM-2005. Its description in RNAcentral is "eukaryotic LSU rRNA". It matches the Rfam family "Eukaryotic large subunit ribosomal RNA", at positions 71 to 795 of the family's 3401-position model. The record is from RNAcentral. Lineage: Eukaryota; Metazoa; Annelida; Polychaeta; Sabellida; Serpulidae.
AUGAUUCCCUUAGUAACGGCGAGUACAAGCGGGAAAAGCCCAGCACUGAAUCCCCCGGCCGUAUGGUCGACGGGACCUGUAGUGUUUGGGAGUGUCGCUGGUGCGCUGACAAGCUGUCCAAGUCCACGUGACUGGGGCGCCCGUAGUGGGUGCUAGGCCUAUACCGCAGCGAGUCGUGCGCCUUUGAUGCUCUCUGGAGUCGGGUUGCUUGAGAAUGCAGCCCAAAGUGGGAGGUAAACUCCUCCUAAGGCUAAAUACUGGCGCGAGACCGAUAGUAAACAAGUACGGUGACGGAAAGUUGAAAAGCACUUUGAAGAGAGAGUUGGAUAGUACGUGAAACCGUUUACAGGUAAACGGAUAGGACCAGAAUGUCGGCGGCGGGGAAUCAGGCUACUGACGCGCAACCUGCCGGUGCGUGGGACACGUUCGCGUGCCCUCGGGCUGGCGGCGGAGCGCUCGGUGGCUGCACUUUCCCGUUUGCCGAGCGCCACGACCGUCUGUCUGGCAGUCAGAAGGGCUCGGCCAAGGUAGCCUGGUGCCGCAAGGCGCCGGGAACUUAUAGGGUCGGGCACGCUGGCCUGUUGGGUGGACGAGGGACUUUUGCCGCGCGUCGUGGGCUGCGGGUCGCUGGCUGGCGUUCGACUGCUGAGGACUGCUUGCAGUGCUUGGCGACUGCGUCGGCUAGGCGGGCCUGCGGUCUGCGUGCGUUGUUGGGUCAGUGGCGUUUAGCUGGCACCCUAUCCGACCCGUCUUGAAACACGGACCAAGGAGUCUAACAUGCGCGCAAGUCAAAGGGUCUAACGAAACCCCAGGGCGAAAUGAAAGUGAACGUAGGUGUGAUCCCGGUCGUACACGGCUGGGCGCAGCACCGCCCCGUCGCGAGGCCUUUUUGUGUCUGCGGCGA